GACAGGGUCCACCUCUUCCCAUUCCGAACAGAGAAGUUAAGCCUGCCAGCGCCGAUGAUACUGCUAUACCAAGUGGGAAAGUAGGUCGCCGCCAACU
This 97-nucleotide ribosomal RNA is filed under the name Bacteroidota bacterium. The record is from RNAcentral. Lineage: Bacteria; Pseudomonadati; Bacteroidota.